ACUUCCAAUCCCCAUGCACCAGCAUUUCCCUGCAGCAGCCUCAUUAAGGGCUGGUUUCAAAGCUCCUUCACAGGAGAGGAUAAUGAUGCCAAGGAAGAGCAGAUUUCUUGGGGGAAAGGGCAGGAGAGCGCUGUGAGCCUAAUGUGGAAACAGGCUCCCACUCCUGUCUCCACCACAAGAAGGCCAGAGAAGAGAACUGGGUCCGGGAAAGAGGGUCAUGGCUCUUCUUCUCUGUCCCAGCUGGCGCUCAGGGUGAGACAAGGAAGUUGAUGCUGACUGUCCAUCCUUGGAAGUGUGUCCAGAACCAUGGGAGCCAUAUGGCCACCAGCUGGAGAAUAAAGCCAACGUGGGAGAUGAUGGAGCUGAUGAAAAUACCCAGGACUAGAACAAAGCUGAAAGUACCAUGCCCAGACAUCACUGGAAGACACACAGGUCUUUAUUGGCCUGAGUGAGGCAAGGUUCCAGUUGUUUGUAUCCCAAAGCCUUCGAACUCAUAGCCAAGUGUGCCCUGGAGUUUACUCACUUCGCUCAUGAAACAUUAUGUUAGACACUGAGUUCCAGUACACAAGCUUGUCCAAUUUCUCAGUUCUAGGAAGCAGGCUUAUCUGAUCUCCCAGUUCAGGGCAGAUUAGAACUAGCAAGUGAGAGGUAGAUGAAGUGAGGGCAGCUGGUCAGGGAGGGAAGAGACACAGGUGGAAACCAGCACACAAGAUGUGGCACUGGAGGGCCAUCGAGUGUCCAGACAAACAGGUGCUCCCCUUCUGCCGCCCCAGUGUGUGCUGGAUACAGGCCAGUGACUGAGCCAUCACGACGGCCACGUGUCGUCAAAGGAAGUUUGCUUUCUUUCUGUUUUAGGAGGGGGAUGAGGCUGAAAAAUGUUUAAUAACACUACUUUGUAAACAAGGAAAAGGUUAAAUGAUUAAAAGGGUACACUUAUCUGAAAAGUCACACAGAGAACAAACUCACUAAACUCAACGAAUGAGUAUAAUAUACCCACAGAGAUGCAUGCAAAUAGAACCUCUAGAAAGUCAUCCAGAGAAAAGGAGGGAAAGAGCAGCAGGCAGUAGUCUGCUUGCUACGGAGAGCACUUCAUUUCAGGGUCCGCACGAGAAGCCCUGGAGAAGCCAAGCUGGCGACUGAGUACAAGGCUUUGCUCUUCUGCCAGUGGCUUGAAUAGACUCUGGUGGCUCAGAGAGCUGCCUAAGCUAUUCUCUCAGAAGCCCACUAGUGGGAAACAAAUAAGCUGCUUGACUUUUCUUGGUAGGAGGGGGUUGAACACUCCUAAUUCAAUGUAAAUAAUUCUCAAAGCCAAGCACUUGCAGCAAAAAUGACUGGAAUGGUCACAGACACUAAAACUGUGCCGUGCAAAACAGGUCCUGGGUCUCUGUGUGCACAAACACAGAGCCCAGCAGCUGAUGUAGUUACUCCGGGAGAAGCCACUCCAACCCAGUCAUUCCCAGCUACAUGCCGGGUGCCAGGGAGCUGCUACACUCCACUGGCACCAGAGUCUAAAGUUUGGGGUGGCUUGUUUACCAAGGAUGUGGGCAUGAAGGAUGCAGUGCUGAGGUGUGAGACGAACAUGGGGGUUCUCUGCAAUCCUCCAGUCACCUUUCAAUCUUGCAGAGCCUACACCCAACAGAGCACUGCUCUGCUUUAACACAGAAACUUACAAAUAUGCAAAUCAAGGUAAAUAAAAAGGAAAAAUUGGGUACCUUUUCUGAUUACUCACCCAUUUGUGUGUGUGUUACACACAAUUUUUAAAUGAACAGUAGGUGAUGUAUGAACCUCAGUGUUAUUUAAGGAAAACCCAUAAACAAUUAAAUAAAUUUACCAAGAAUGAAACGUAAGACUUUAGAUUAGUGGUUUCGAGUGGUCUUUUUUUACUUCAUGCAAGAAUAUUACCACCUACACUGAGACUGUGCUACUAGUAAAUUAUGAUUAUUAUCAUCAACCCAUUAUUAGUCAACAAUUUGCUGGCAUGGUCCUAAAUAAUCUACAUUCAUUAUCUUAUUUUAUUAUCAUAAUAGCAUGAGUCUAAGUAUUAAACCAGUUUUACUGAUGGAGAAAAUGAGGCCUAGAGCUGUGAUUUGCUGGGGGAGCCAGAACAAGGAAAAGCUUGGGGUCCCAGAAAACACAGAUUCAUCCCAGAGGCAAAGGCUUAAUCACACCAGAGUUACAACAAUAGAUUCAUCUGCUGAUGGACAUACUGGAUGUGCUACUUCUAAAGUUGAGCAAUCGUGAAUUGUGCUGCUAUAAACGUGAGUACGCUGUGUCACUGUAAUAUGAUGUCUUUGACCCUUUUAAUUUUUCCACCUUGUGAUGGCAUGAAAACAAACCAGUUCAGUAGAAACCAUACUUGGAAACUGAGUUUUGAUAUUAGGCGGAAGUGGUCUGGUGCUCACUGUCUGGUGACACCAAGUAGUCCUGGUCCUCCGUGUGACCCCGAGGUUGACAACCCAUACUCUACAGUGGGCUGGGUUGCCGAGCUGUGAUGUUAGGUAAGCCAGGUGUAAAAAAUCCAUUUCUGACUUAUGAUGAGUUUGUGGAGACACAACUCUCUUUGUAGGCUGUGGGUGGCUUCAUCUCACAUCCUUUGGACACCUUGUUGCUUUCCUUUGUCUCCGCUACAUGGACACUGGUUUGGGAUCAUUUCCUUUUAUUCCUUUGACAUAUCUUGCACCAAGAUUGGUUCCAAAUGUUGUCCAUGCUUUUGGCUGUUCUGUUUAGUUGUUUUGUCUGUUUUUAUGUAGAAAUACAGAAAGUUUCAAGAGCUGUGUCACUGCUACUUCAACUUCACAGGACACUCCUCUACUCUCAGGCUUCCUACUUCGAAUAACAGGGUUGCAGUAGUUACAGAAUAAAGCCAACAUCAUUCUUGAUUGGCCUUGCACUAAACCAUAAUGUUCUGCACAAAAUAAUUCUUGUUAACCUUGGCUCUACAUUAACACCUUGGGACUCACUGUAAAGUGCUGAGUCUUUGGUCUGUACCCUGCAAGAGCCUCUGAUUUAAUUGGUCUUGUGUAGAAUACUUCCAGUAGACUGUAAGGCAGACCAAGGUUUGGCAACCACUAGUAUGGAGAAAAACAAUUUGUUAAACAUUUCUAUUGAGACCAAGCCAGUCACUGGUUGCUCAGUUCACCAUGAGUGUAGUCACUCCCCCACUCUUAGCCCACCUGGCUCAGGUGAGACAGGCCCAUUACCCGCAUCUGGAAAAGUCAAGCCACAUAAGUACAGCCAGCCAGGGUGCUCCACUCCUGUCCAAGGACAAGCAUGUGACCUGCCUGGACCAAUGAAAAAAGUCCCCAUGAUUUCUGAAAGACUCAUCAAAGAGUCGUUUUUUAUUUUUCAUUCAAAUUGAGCUUCAAGGUCAAUAUAAAGAAUUUGUUUUAGAAUAAAGCUGAGGGCAAAGAACAUUGUUGUAGGAAUGGAAAGAGCAAGAAUGUAUCCUAAUUGGCCUAAUAUAGCGAUUCCAAAUAUAUACUUAUUUCCAUCUAAAUCAGGACAAAUCGGGGAGAGAGAGAGAUGGAGAAGUCAGGUAAUUGGAGGAAAAGUAGUUCUAUCCCCGAGGAGCUGAUUGAGGUCCUGGCUUUGGAUUGUUUCCCGGAAGAACUGCGUUGCCCUCUGCUCCUUGGUUCACCUGAUUUAUAACCACUCACAGGCAUGUCGGGGGUCUUUGGACCUUGGCCUCCAGGCAGACUGCUCAGAGAAGGGAAGAGGACAGACUACAAGGCAGAGCCUCUGAGCAGACGCAAGAAAGGCCCUGGGAGACUGGAGCCAUGCCUAACACCAGCCCCUGCCCACAUUCCCCGUCGGAUGGGGCUUGUGCUGGGGUCUGCCUGGAUCGCCUGCUCAUCCACGAGGCAGGGAAGAAGCAGCACGCGGCUCCUCUCCCACUCAGGACGUGGGCUGUACACUGCACUUCUUUGGGCUUCAGCUUCUGCAUCGGUAAAGCACACCGAGGGACAUUCAUACUUCACCAGAUUCUUGAGUGAUUUAAAUAACCCCCUACAAACAAGCGCUUAGAACAGAGCCUGCAAAUACCAAACCCUCACUAUUUAUCUGUUGUUUUCACCAUUUAAUAAACUAAUCCCCGACAUAGGUACAGUGGUUAGAAUCGUGUCACAGAGGAGAAAACUGAUUUGAGAGACAAUAAUGGUUUACCUAAUGGCGUCCAGAAUGCAAGUGCCUGGGAUUCCUGAACUGACUGUCCAACUCGAGGGCUAUUAUUACCUCUUUGUUUUUAGAUAAGAAGGCAAUGGUGUGUGUCUUGACAUUCUGUAGAGUAAUUCUACAGUUUACCUAAAAGAAUAAGGAAGAAAUGUUUGUUUAAAAAAAUAGAAAAAUAAUGGGUGAUAAGUCAUACAUGAUUGCAUCAAAAAGGUAAACAUUUCUAUGUGAAAAUAGAAGAUAAUUAGGGUGAAGGCAGUGUUCUUUAUCUUGAUUGUGGGGUUACACAACUAUAAUUGUAGCCAAAAUUUUUUAAAAUUUACAUUUAAAAGGGGAGAAUUUUGUGUGUGAAAAUUAUACCACCAUAAAAACUUGAGAAAAAGGUAAUUAUAAUUUAAAAAGGAAGAAAUCAACUAGGCAGAAAUGUUGCCUAUAACAUAUUUGCUAGAGCACCAACCAAAGCCAAACAAUCAUAACCUAUGGCCCAGCAGUUCUAGCCCUGAGUAUACACCCAGAAAGGAGCACAUAUCUGCCAGGUGAAAUGUAAAGAGAUGUUCCUAGUUGCUUUAUCUGUAAUAGCUCCAGAUUACAAACAACCCAAAUUUCCAUCAACAAUAGAAUGGUUAAGAAAUCGUGGUAUUCAGACAAUAGAAAACUACAGAGAAAUGAAAAAGAAUGAACUCAAUAUAUAACAUAGACGAAUUUUCCAAACCUAAUGUUUCAUUUCAGAAGCUUAACCCAACCAAACACACACAGGAUGGCUCCAUGUGUAAGAAGUCUGGAACACGCUAAGCUGGUCCACAAUGACAGAAAAGUCAUGACUUGGCAGUGGCCACUGCUAACUGGCAGGGGACAUGGGAAGCCUUAGGGUGCUGGGACUGUCCUAUAUCUCCACCUGGGAGUUAGUUAUAUGGGUGUGUACAUAUGUAAAUAUUGGUUGAGCUAUGUAUUUAAGAACAUUCACUUUUCUCUAUGUUAAGUUACACAUAAAAAAGACCUAAUCUGAAUUUUUUAAAAUGGGCAAAGGACUUGAGAUCAGGAAAGAAGCAAUCUUAACUGACUUAACUAUUAUGGACACAUAGUUACACAUGCCAAAUCACUAAUCACACAAAUGCAAAUGAAAAGUUUUUCUGAAAUUAUAAUGCCUCUAUUUGAGGGACAUGAAGUUAUGCGCAAGGCCCUGAGAUGAAGAUUUUUGAGGCAAGUGAUUCUCAAGGAACUUCUGAAACAAGAACCCAGAAAGCAGAAAAGGAAGAGGAAGAAGAUGCCAAGAAAGGGCACAGUUUCAGGAGAUCUUGCCUGCUCAGCACUGUCCCGUGGGAACUGUGAGAUGCAUUGACUCCACAUACAGUGGACUCUCGAGUUAGACUGGACUAACAUAUGAACGACUUGGGUUAUGACCGGAAUUUUAGUUUUAACUUAUAACCAAAGUCUUGAGUUACCAUCCAAAUGCCUGCCACUUGUUCUUCCAGAUGGUCUCAGAUACAAAUUUAACCCUUAAAGAGUGCUGGAGGGAAUAUGACAACAUCCUUUUCUGUGUGGGGUUCACUGAGAAAUCCUGGGCCAAUGUCUCUCUAAGGACACUGAGAUCUGCCAGUGUACAGGAGAGAGACUUUGAGGGCUGUGUAGAGGAGGCUGACCCUUCAAUUGACCAACUUGAGUUACAGCCAGCGAACUGAGUUUGUAAGUCAAGGGUCCAUGGUAUUUUAUUCUGUCUCAAGGUGAAUCCUCUAGGCUUUCAUAGUCUCUAGUGCUCAGGGCCAUUGACUCUCGCUCCCGCACAGACUUCUAGCUUGCAGUGCCCUGGGCAGUUCUCUGCAGAAGGGAGCGGGGGAUGGGCACAGAGAGACAAACAAGCAGAAGGAUCCUAGUCAGAGCUCUGGUAAGCUUCUGUGAUAACUGCCUUGCUGCAGGGUUGGAGAUUAUCAACCUGAAGGUUUCAUCUUUGCACAAGAUUGAACUGACCAAUUGCGACAGAAAAGCCAGUGGAGAAAUAAAGUCAGGAGUGAAUGACCGAAUGGUCUUUCCUGGAAAAGGCUAGGUCUUCAGUGUAACCUCUCCACAUUUUAUGUGAAAUAGGUGCUUUGUUCCCAGUGUUGGCAGAAGGGAGAUGUGGGAGAUUUGUGGACAAUGAAGUGAGGAGUGGAUUCCUUGGGGAAGGACUCAGAUCCUAGUUAAAUCUUGGAAUCGAUGAGUCAUGGCUAUGUCACAGCAGAGCGUUUGGGUUGUGAAACUGAGUGUGUUCUUCCUGGCGGGCCUAUUCGGUCACCCUCAAUCCUUGUCCCCAAGCGCAGUCCCUUCUGUCCUGGAGUUCUUUGCUCCUAACUGCGUUUGAUCUUCAUGACAUCUUGUGAGGCAGCAAGAUCAGCUGUUUUCCAGAUGAGUAAACUGAGGCCAGAUAGGUUAACUUCUUGUUCCUCAAAUUCAGCAGCACAUUGCAAUCAUUUGCUGGAGUUUUGUAAACUGUUACUUGGAAUGCUUGUGUAUGAGGACCAAUUGCUGUUUUUAAAACAGUUCCCAAGGUGAUCCUGAAAUACAGCCAGAUCUGGAAAAAGAGGGAUUACAUGACAUUUCCAGUGUCCUGAGAGAAUAAGAGAACACUCAUUCUUGGGUCAUUAAUCUAUCCUUUUCACUCAUUCACCCAUUUAUGGAGCAUUUACUGCGAAUACUAGGAAUGCAACAGUCAGAAGUGGAACAGUGACAAUUCUGCUGGCAUCUUAAGAGAUUACAGGUGGGAAGGUUGGGGCAUCAGGUGAGAGGAACACAGUGUAGCACUGUGGUGUUCCCACGAAACUGUCCAUGCUGUCAGGCAGACGGACCCGCUAUGAACUUGGGGAUAAGAGAGACAUUGAACUAAUCAUUCCGAAAGUGAUCAAAAUUCCUAAAACUCAAGUUUUCAUGCAUUUGGGGAACGAUAAUGUCAAUCAUCUUCACACACAGGAGAGUCGCUGGCCAUGUUGGGCCAUUGGCACCGUCUGUGAAGAGAAUCAAAUCUGCUGUUAUACACAUCAAAUGCCC
Molecule: long non-coding RNA, 7185 nt
Filed under: Heterocephalus glaber (naked mole-rat)
Lineage: Eukaryota; Metazoa; Chordata; Mammalia; Rodentia; Bathyergidae
Description: lncRNA (ENSHGLG00100031860.2)
Source: RNAcentral